Molecule: long non-coding RNA, 1186 nt
Filed under: Anas platyrhynchos platyrhynchos (common mallard)
Lineage: Eukaryota; Metazoa; Chordata; Aves; Anseriformes; Anatidae
Description: lncRNA (ENSAPLG00000030566.1)
Source: RNAcentral
UGGCUAUUUAGACAUUGGUAUUGCUCUCAAAAAUUAAGUUGGGUUAAUUAGAGCAUGUACUGUAUGCCUAUAAAAGACUAAAUCAGGCUCUGUCUCAGGAGCCAGACGUGAGUGCUUUUCAAAAACUGAAUGUGACCCUGACAACUUAAAAUGUAAAGUAUAUUGAAAGUACUUGCUAGUUAGAGAUUCUGCUGCCUCCGAAGCUCCUUUAACAGGGUUGUUUUGUUUUGUUUUUCAUUAUUUUUAAAGGUCUUUCCUUAUUUAAAAAUAUUUUUUCUUUAAUACUUUAACAGAAAUCAACCCACAGAACAGUACGAAAAUGAAUAUGGAAAUACCAGUAUGAAAGAAAUCAGGAGACCUGUUUAUCUGCCAUGUUCUGCCAAAUGAACAAUCAGAAAAUGUGUGUUUUUUUUUUUCUCCUCAUGGCUUUUGCAGUUACAAGAAUUUAGGAAAAGUGAGAGCCUUAACCAGUGAUUAAGAAAUAAUGAUGUUAACGAAACAAGUCUGAAAAUUUUCAUCUUUUUCAUCAUCUCCUUUGAAGGUUUACAUAAAAGAAGAUGCGGUAAUUUUACGUGGAAAUCUGGAGCAGUGUGAUGCAAUCGUAAAACCAGAAUUCUGUAUUAUGUCUCCGGUGCCCAGCAUUUCUGGUCGACUGCCACCCAGCCCGCCAGAAACGCAGGGCCUAGGGACCUGGCAUGAACCAUAUGAAUUCAGUGUGUGUGUUUUCUCCAGCAGAAGAUUAAUGAAGAUACUUUUCUGAAGAUGCUGAGUUUGAGUCACCUCCUAUUCAUGGUGAAGUAUCUCCAAGGAAGGAAAGUGUGUGCAACCCUAUGGCUGGCAUUAUAUACAUGUAUUCCCUGGCAUCAUCCUCCAUUGCAGAGCUGCAUCUCUGUUCAUUUUAAGAGUUACAGCAGUCUGAAUAAUAGAAGUGAUGUACCUUAGGAAUCAGAGAAUUGGGCCUUCUACCUGUCUGGAUGUGCUGUAUAAAGGAAGGACUCGUAUGCUAUGGAACCUCAGUCCUGGUGGUUAAAUGGGAUUUAUAUGCAUAAAGCCAGAUUGGCAAACAAGUGUAAGAACCCAACAAGAAAAACUGGAACAGAGUGCCUGAAUACAUAAAUAACUGAAAAUCAAACUAAUCAAAUUUCCCUCUACAUUUUCGACUUAAAUAUCAGUGAUUCCAGCCCUG